CCUACGGGAGUCAGCCGUGAGGCAUAUUGGUCAAUGGGCGCGAGCCUGAACCAGCCAAGUAGCGUGCAGGAUGACUGCCCUACGGGUUGUAAACUUCUUUUAUAAAGGAAUAAAGUGAGGCACGUGUGCCUUUUUGUAUGUACUUUAUGAAUAAGGAUCGGCUAACUCCGUGCCAGCAGCCGCGGUAAUACGUCGGCUCAUAGCGUUAUCCGGAUUUAUUGGGUUUAAAGUGAGCGUAGAUGGGUUGUUAAGUCAGUUGUGAAAGUUUGCGGCUCAACCGUAAAAUUGCAAUUGAUACUGGCAGUCUUGAGUACAGUUGAGGUAGGCGGAAUUCGUGGUGUAGCAGUGAAAUGCUUAGAUAUCACGAAGAACUCCGAUUGCGAAGGCAGCUUACUAAACUGCCACUGACAUUGAUGCUCGAAAGUGUGGGUAUCAAACAGGAGUAGAUAUCCUAGUAGUC
Molecule: ribosomal RNA, 460 nt
Filed under: uncultured bacterium
Lineage: Bacteria
Description: partial 16S ribosomal RNA
Rfam family: Bacterial small subunit ribosomal RNA
Source: RNAcentral